CACGUAGGCACCAAGCGUUGUCCGGAAUUAUUGGGCGUAAAGAGCUCGUAGGCGGUGUGUCGCGUCGGCCGUGAAAACCUGGGGCUCAACUCUGGGCGUGCGGUCGAUACGGGCAUCACUUGAGUUCGGCAGGGGAGACUGGAAUUCCUGGUGUAGCGGUGAAAUGCGCAGAUAUCAGGAGGAACACCGGUGGCGAAGGCGGGUCUCUGGGCCGAUACUGACGCUGAGGAGCGAAAGCAUGGGUAGCGAACAGG
Molecule: ribosomal RNA, 254 nt
Filed under: uncultured bacterium
Lineage: Bacteria
Description: partial 16S ribosomal RNA
Rfam family: Bacterial small subunit ribosomal RNA
Source: RNAcentral